RNAcentral lists this antisense RNA (78 nucleotides) under Streptomyces sp. NRRL S-4. Its description in RNAcentral is "ASpks sRNA". It matches the Rfam family "ASpks TB sRNA". Lineage: Bacteria; Bacillati; Actinomycetota; Actinomycetes; Kitasatosporales; Streptomycetaceae. The record is from RNAcentral.
CUUGAUCGACCCGAGCCACAGAGGCAGGUCCUCGGAGCGGCGCUCCUGACCGUAGGUGGCGAGCAGCGCCUGCGCUUC